Molecule: long non-coding RNA, 290 nt
Filed under: Elaeis guineensis (African oil palm)
Lineage: Eukaryota; Viridiplantae; Streptophyta; Magnoliopsida; Arecales; Arecaceae
Description: long non-coding RNA (EGUI_LNC060939)
Source: RNAcentral
AUCGAAGAACCUUUAUGGAUUUUUCAGUCUAUUUUUCUACUUCUUGUCUGAACUUUAUGAACUUUCAAAGGCUUUAGACUUAUGGUGCAUCAAAUACACAAACUCAUACCAUGAAUAAUCAUCGAUAAAGAUUAUAAAAUAGAUAUAGCCACCCUUGGCAUGUACAUCAAAUGGACCACACACGUUAGUGUAUAUCAGGGCUAAUAUCUCAGUGGCCCUUUCUCUUUAUCCCAUAAUGGGUAGCUUAGCCAUUUUCUUUGAAGACACGAUUCCCAAAUCGGAUAAGACUC